CCCAACUCAAUCAAAAGUGAGAACAUGACAACUAAAAACAAGACAUUUUUUUUCUAAAAAACAUUAAAACCGAUUCAAUUGUUGAACUUCUAUGCAGAAGAGGGAUAAACCCAAUGACUGUCUAUCAAAGGGGUCAAGAGAGUCUGAGUGCACCAUGUUACUUGCUUCCAUUGCUGAAGCCGGAGAUGUGGCAAUAAGGUGGUUGGUCCCUGUCGUGGCAGCAAUCCCCCAACCCUUUGGUGGACACCAGGGAUGAGGUAUGCCGUCAUAUUGAAGAAAGGACUCUUUCAGGCUGUUUUGGUCUGUGGGACUCCCGAGGCAGCUGAUGGGGGUACAGGCUGGUCAAGUGCAAUGGAGCUCUGGUGGUCGCUGAGGGACAGGACGACUGGUUGCACCCCAAGGAAAGAUGAAUGCGGCCAAGUACAGUUGAUAUCGUGGAAGAAACCCUUCUCCAGAGUGCUCAGACCUUCAAACUCAGUCAGUCUAACAUGACACUGACUCCAAGCACACAGCCUACAAAGACUGUCUUCAGAACAACUCCGUGACUGUUCUUGAAUGCCCCAGCAAGAGCUGAAUUAAACCUAAUCGAGCAUAUCUGGAGAGACCUGAAAAUUCUUGUCCACCAAUGUUCACCAUUUAAUCUGAGAGCACUGGAGUUGAUCUUCAAGGAGAAAUGUCAGUGGAUUCCCAAAACCAGGUGUGUAAAACCUGUUGUUUUCAUUCCCAAGAAAGAUUCAUGGCUGUAUUAGCUCAAAAGGGUGUUUCCACUAAAUACUGAGCAAAGGGUCGGAACACUUAUAGCUGUUUGAUACUUCAGUUUUUAUUUUUUAAUAACCACACUACGUUUGGCUCCUUCUCUGCAUGGUGCUGCUUGUAUUUUGGGGUACUAAAAAUAAGACGUGACCCCUUUACUCUGUGUUCCUCUUAACGGAGGAAGAGAAUGUGGGCUUGCCCUCACCAUCGCACAGUGCUUGCAGUUUGCCAGCAGCUUCACUGGAAUCACAUUAGUAGUGGGCUGCCGUAUUUAAUGAACUAAACUUACAGCGUCUAGCAGUUAUCAUUAGUACUAAUUAGACUGACAGCUGCAUGGUUGAGCAGUGGAAGAGAGUGUAGCUUCACUGGAUUAUACUAAAAGCAGCUUCAAAGCAAUAUGUCGGCUCUCUCCUGUACAGCAGCAGACUUCAUUUCCAUGCAAAAAAAUAAAAAUGCAUUUGGAUGGCAGCCAUAUCCAUUUCCAAAGAGGAGCGACACCCACCAUCUUUGGUUCGAUAUUGUGCUGUUUUCUGACCUCGAGUGUGGUGCCCUCAUAUGGUAAUUGGAAGAGAUGUCUGCGAAACAACAGUUAGCGUGAGCAAUACAAGUGAGGACAGAGUAAUGGGGGCGAGGCCGAGUGAUGCGCAUGGACUAAGUCGGCUAGUGCACUAAGCAACAAACUCGUGUUCAUAACGCACUCCUGGCUCGCUACGCCACUGGAAGAACCUUUUAGUGGACUUUGAAAUACAGUCGGUUUCCCCAGGCACUAGUUCAAGUGAGAUAAGUCGCCGGUUGGCUUCAUC
Molecule: long non-coding RNA, 1556 nt
Organism: Syngnathoides biaculeatus (alligator pipefish)
Lineage: Eukaryota; Metazoa; Chordata; Actinopteri; Syngnathiformes; Syngnathidae
Exons: 3
Source: RefSeq, a predicted model, not a curated record